This 305-nucleotide ribosomal RNA is filed under the name uncultured bacterium. RNAcentral's name for it is "bacterial SSU rRNA". It matches the Rfam family "Bacterial small subunit ribosomal RNA", at positions 337 to 640 of the family's 1533-position model. The record is from RNAcentral.
UCCUACGGGAGGCAGCAGUGAGGAAUAUUGGUCAAUGGGCGGGAGCCUGAACCAGCCAAGCCGCGUGAGGGAAGAAGGUACAGCGUAUCGUAAACCUCUUUUGUCAGGGAACAAAGGCGGGGACUAGUCCCCGGAUGAGGGUACCUGAAGAAAAAGCAUCAGCUAACUCCGUGCCAGCAGCCGCGGUAAUACGGAGGAUGCGAGCGUUAUCCGGAUUUAUUGGGUUUAAAGGGUGCGCAGGCGGUCUGUUAAGUCAGCGGUCAAAGCCCGGGGCUCAACCCCGGCCCGCCGUUGAAACUGGCAGU